UACGGAGGGUGCAAGCGUUAUCCGGAUUCACUGGGUUUAAAGGGUGCGUAGGCGGGUAUAUAAGUCAGUGGUGAAAGCUCCGGGCUUAACUUGGAAACUGCCAUUGAUACUGUAUAUCUUGAAUGUCGUUGAGGUAAGCGGAAUGUUGCAUGUAGCGGUGAAAUGCUUAGAUAUGUUACAGAACACCAAUUGUGAAGACAGCUUACUAAACGAUGAUUGACGCUGAGGCACGAAAGCGUGGGGAGCAAACAGG
Molecule: ribosomal RNA, 253 nt
Filed under: uncultured bacterium
Lineage: Bacteria
Description: partial 16S ribosomal RNA
Rfam family: Bacterial small subunit ribosomal RNA
Source: RNAcentral